This 68-nucleotide transfer RNA is filed under the name Macroramphosus scolopax (longspine snipefish). RNAcentral describes it as "tRNA-Ser". The record is from RNAcentral. Lineage: Eukaryota; Metazoa; Chordata; Actinopteri; Syngnathiformes; Centriscidae.
GAGAGAGGUCUGUUGACAACAGAAACUGCUAAUUUUUGCCACCCUGGAUAGAUCCCAAGGCUCACUCG